GAUGAACGCUGGCGGCGUGCCUAAUACAUGCAAGUCGAGCGAACAGACGAGGAGCUUGCUCCUCUGACGUUAGCGGCGGACGGGUGAGUAACACGUGGAUAACCUACCUAUAAUACUGGGAUAACUUCGGGAAACCGGAGCUAAUACCGGAUAAUAUAUUGAACCGCAUGGUUCAAUAGUGAAAGACGGUUUUGCUGUCACUUAUAGAUGGAUCCGCGCCGGAUUAGCUAGUUGGUAAGGUAACGGCUUACCAAGGCAACGAUGCGUAGCCGACCUGAGAGGGUGAUCAGCCACACUGGAACUGAGACACGGUCCAGACUCCUACGGGAGGCAGCAGUGGGGAAUCUUGCACAAUGGGCGGAAGCCUGAUCGAGCCAUACCGCGUGGGUGAAGAAGGUCUUCGGGUUGUAAAACCCUUUUAUUAGGGAAGAACAAAUGUGUAAGUAACUAUGCACGUCUUGACGGUACCUAAUCAGAAAGCCACGGCUAACUACGUG
Molecule: ribosomal RNA, 497 nt
Filed under: uncultured bacterium
Lineage: Bacteria
Description: partial 16S ribosomal RNA
Rfam family: Bacterial small subunit ribosomal RNA
Source: RNAcentral